This 252-nucleotide ribosomal RNA is filed under the name uncultured bacterium. RNAcentral describes it as "partial 16S ribosomal RNA". It matches the Rfam family "Bacterial small subunit ribosomal RNA", at positions 524 to 776 of the family's 1533-position model. The record is from RNAcentral.
UACGUAGGUCCCGAGCGUUGUCCGGAUUUAUUGGGCGUAAAGCGAGCGCAGGUGGUUUAUUAAGUCUGGUGUAAAAGGCAGUGGCUCAACCAUUGUAUGCAUUGGAAACUGGUAGACUUAAGUGCAGGAGAGGAGAGUGGAAUUCCAUGUGUAGCGGUGAAAUGUGUAGAUAUAUGGAGGAACACCGGUGGCGAAAGCGGCUCUCUGGCCUGUAACUGACACUGAGGCUCGAAAGCGUGGGGAGCAAACAGG